UUUCUGUUUCAGUCAUAUUAAGAGGUUGGCCGCCCUGUCAGUGUGGCCUAAAUAUCCGGUGUGCACCAUCAAGUCAUGUUAAGAGGUUGGCCGCCCUGUCAGUUUGACCUAAAUAUCCGGUGUGCACCAUCAAGGUUGGUUUCUUUCCUGGUAUGAAGAGUCAUGUUAAGAGGUUGGCCGAUCUUGCAGUGUGGCCUAAAUAUCCGGUGUGCACCAUCAUGUCAUGUUAAGAGGUUGGCCGCCCUGUCAGUGUGACCUA
Molecule: long non-coding RNA, 259 nt
Organism: Cryptotermes secundus
Lineage: Eukaryota; Metazoa; Arthropoda; Insecta; Blattodea; Kalotermitidae
Exons: 4
Source: RefSeq, a predicted model, not a curated record